AGCAGUUCGGGGUAAUAACUACCUCCAUAUGUGGCCCGUGGUGGCAGCGCUUCUUUUGGGUUCUUUUCACUGUGGUUUGGCACAGCUAACCUUUAAAAAUAUUAACUCUGUAAAGGCUAGCAACUGCAGCAGAAUUGUUCUUAUUCCAUGCUAUGUCUCCAACAUAGAGGCACAAGACAUCAAUGAAUUAUUUUUGAAGUGGAAAUUUGGACAAGAUAUAAUUUUUGUCUUUGAUGGGCAUGCAAACAAAUCUACAACUUAUACGUUUCCAAGUGCACAAAUUUUCCCCUCCGAAUUUCUAAAAGGAAAUGCAUCUUUGACGUUGGCUAAGAAUGAAGCUAAAGCAGGAAACUACACAUGUGAAGUGACAGAAUUGAGCAGGGAGGGGAAACACACUGUGGAGCUAAAAUAUAGUGAUGUCUGCACUCCACCAAUUAGCGGUUUCAAAGGAGGAAGUGUGCUACUCAGUCUCAUCUGGGUUCUCCUGUCUUUGACCAAGGUUCAUGGUUUACUUUAAGUGAAAAUAUUCCCAUUAUUAUUUUCCCAUUUUUGACUGUACUUCUGUUCUGGGCACAGUUUGGUAUUUUAAUGCAAAAAUAUAAAUCCAACCCUGUGAAUAGGAAAAUUCUUAUUUUAUCUACUUCUGGACUAUUGUUCACCAUAAUUGUCACUGUUGGAGCCGCCCUUUAUAUCCCAGCUAUCGGGAGGACCCUCCAGGCUGUGAUCAUGUUCACCAUUGCUCAAGGACUGGGUGCUGUACUCACUCUGGCGGGACUAUAUCUCACUGCAUCUGACUGUGUACCAAAAUACGGCCUCCUUCUAAUUUCAGGUUUGGCCAUAAUAACUCUAGUGGAAUUAUUUGGACUAAUUUAUAUGAAAUGGCUUGACCCAAUGAUAGGGUUUCCAUAAGACACAAAAGUGCAGGCAGCGCUGUCUUUGUUCCCGAGUUUCACACUUUGUCUCACUGGCUCUCAAGGAAUACUAAAUCCAACCAUCUCUAGUCCAGAGCAAGAUGCCAGACGUUCCAAGUGCCACUGGGUCACCUUGCUUUUCUCAUCGCUGAAGCCAGCUGAUUGCUCUCCAAGGAUACUGUUUUGCCCAAGGCAGUGUGGACUUUGACAUUCCUUCAAGUUUCAACUAGAAUAUUGACUAGAGGCUAGUUUGUAGACGUAUUACUUUGUAAAAAGUGUCAACUCCUUGAUUGUAACAGAAAACAAUAAAAACAUUAAAAAUCCA
This 1236-nucleotide long non-coding RNA is filed under the name Mus musculus (house mouse). RNAcentral describes it as "RIKEN cDNA 1700026J12 gene, transcript variant 3 (1700026J12Rik)". The record is from RNAcentral. Lineage: Eukaryota; Metazoa; Chordata; Mammalia; Rodentia; Muridae.